Molecule: ribosomal RNA, 496 nt
Filed under: uncultured bacterium
Lineage: Bacteria
Description: partial 16S ribosomal RNA
Rfam family: Bacterial small subunit ribosomal RNA
Source: RNAcentral
AUGAACGCUGGCGGCGUGCCUAAUCCAUGCAAGUCGAGCGAACAGACGAGGAGCUUGCUCCUCUGACGUUAGCGGCGGACGGGUGAGUAACACGUGGAAAACCUACCUAUAAGACUGGGAUAACUUCGGGAAACCGGAGCUAAUACCGGAUAAUAUAUUGAACCGCAUGGUUCAAUAGUGAAAGACGGUUUUGCUGUCACUUAUAGAUGGAUCCGCGCCGCAUUAGCCAGUUGGUAAGGUAACGGCUUACCAAGGCAACGAUGCGUAGCCGACCUGAGAGGGUGAUCGGCCACACUGGAACUGAGACACGGUCCAGACUCCUACGGGAGGCAGCAGUAGGGAAUCUUCCGCAAUGGGCGAAAGCUUGACGGAGCAACGCCGCGUGAGUGAUGAAGGUCUUCGGAUCGUAAAACUCUGUUAUUAGGGAAGAACAAAUGUGUAAGUAACUAUGCACGUCUUGACGGUACCUAAUCAGAAAGCCACGGCUAACUACGUG